This is a long non-coding RNA of Panicum virgatum (switchgrass), 1093 nucleotides long. RefSeq lists it as uncharacterized. The transcript is spliced from 4 exons. Lineage: Eukaryota; Viridiplantae; Streptophyta; Magnoliopsida; Poales; Poaceae. The record is from RefSeq and is a predicted model, not a curated record.
UGUUCGGGUCUGUCGUUGUGUGCUUUGUAUGCCCGGUUACAUGAUAUUGGGCCCGUCGUGCGUCCGGUUACUUGUUAACGGGUCUUGUGUGAGUGAGUGCGAGAUUCGCUCCUGACUGUGUGUGUGUGAGUCGAUCAAUUGCUUCACUAGUCAGAGUGGUUCUCGUUCCAUUUCUCCCUUGAAACCUUCGUUUCUGUUCGAUUCGCCUCCUCCGCCGGGUGCUGAAAAGCGAAGCAAAGCCGCCGGCGUCGAUCUGUUCGAUUCGCCUCCUCCGUCAGGUUCUCCGCCACCACAAAGGAGGGGAAUCGACGGGAUUGACGUCCAAUAGGGCCGUGUGGUCUAGUAGUUUAGUAGCUGUUAGGGUUGUCAAUCUGCUAGUUAGGAGAUCGAGCAGCCGUUCCUAGGGUAUGGUGUCCUCGCGGUGAUGAUGAGGCGGCGGCACGACAUAUCCUCCACCCGGCCACUGGCAGCUGUAGGUAUAAGGGUCUAAGUCAGGCCUUCAGGCUCUGCAUUUUCAAUGGCGACGGAGAAAGGAGUGAUAUAAUGAUGCUACAAUCUGAUCAAGUAACUGCCAGAGCAAUGCACUACCACAUUCUGCAUGAUGAAAUUCACCGCUUUUCUCCUUUGUGGUCACUGCGGAACAUAAUUUCAUAUCUGUAGCUUUUUCCAUGGAGAUACGUCAUACGUGGGGUCUGCUUCACUUGCUAUUUUGGAUCCAUUUCAUCUUGUUGUUUUGAGUUUUAAGUGCAUCUUUGUUUGCUGAUAGCUGCAUCUAAUGGAUUUAUUUCUAUAAUAUAUGCUACUUCCCAAUAUCCUCUACAAUUAAUUCUUGCAACUUUUUGUUUCCAAAUGUUAUCUGGGGUACGGUAUGUGUUUGUUGUAGGUACUAGAUAACAAAUGUAGGAAAAAAAACACAAUGAACACAGCUUGUGUGCAUGUUGUGUGUUGUAGCUAGAAAAAUUGUGUGAAAAAAAAGCUAACUGCUGGAAAAUGGUCUAAGAAAAAAAAAAGUAGAUACCACACAUGCAUUUUUGUCGUGAAAUAUUGUAUCUGUUUGUGCUAAAUGGUAUAAAAAAUUAUUAUGUUUGUGCUA